This 408-nucleotide ribosomal RNA is filed under the name uncultured Peyronellaea. RNAcentral's name for it is "eukaryotic LSU rRNA". The stretch from base 66 to 219 matches the Rfam family "5.8S ribosomal RNA". Lineage: Eukaryota; Fungi; Ascomycota; Dothideomycetes; Pleosporales; Didymellaceae. The record is from RNAcentral.
CCGCCGAUUGGACAAUUUAAACCAUUUGCAGUUGCAAUCAGCGUCUGAAAAAACAUAAUAGUUACAACUUUCAACAACGGAUCUCUUGGUUCUGGCAUCGAUGAAGAACGCAGCGAAAUGCGAUAAGUAGUGUGAAUUGCAGAAUUCAGUGAAUCAUCGAAUCUUUGAACGCACAUUGCGCCCCUUGGUAUUCCAUGGGGCAUGCCUGUUCGAGCGUCAUUUGUACCUUCAAGCUCUGCUUGGUGUUGGGUGUUUGUCUCGCCUCUGCGCGUAGACUCGCCUCAAAACAAUUGGCAGCCGGCGUAUUGAUUUCGGAGCGCAGUACAUCUCGCGCUUUGCAUUCAGAACGACGACGUCCAAAAGUACAUUUUUACACUCUUGACCUCGGAUCAGGUAGGGAUACCCGCU